Molecule: transfer RNA, 72 nt
Filed under: Camelus bactrianus (Bactrian camel)
Lineage: Eukaryota; Metazoa; Chordata; Mammalia; Artiodactyla; Camelidae
Also listed under: 2 other names
Rfam family: tRNA
About the family: Transfer RNA (tRNA) molecules are approximately 80 nucleotides in length. Their secondary structure includes four short double-helical elements and three loops (D, anti-codon, and T loops). Further hydrogen bonds mediate the characteristic L-shaped molecular structure. tRNAs have two regions of fundamental functional importance: the anti-codon, which is responsible for specific mRNA codon recognition, and the 3' end, to which the tRNAs corresponding amino acid is attached (by aminoacyl-tRNA synthetases). tRNAs cope with the degeneracy of the genetic code in two manners: having more than one tRNA (with a specific anti-codon) for a particular amino acid; and 'wobble' base-pairing, i.e. permitting non-standard base-pairing at the 3rd anti-codon position.
Source: Rfam by way of RNAcentral
GAGGGUGUAGCUCAGUGGUAGAGUGCAUGCUUAGCAUGCAUGAGGUCAUGGGUUCAAUCCCCAGUACCUCCA